This 883-nucleotide ribosomal RNA is filed under the name uncultured bacterium. Its description in RNAcentral is "bacterial SSU rRNA". It matches the Rfam family "Bacterial small subunit ribosomal RNA", at positions 620 to 1498 of the family's 1533-position model. The record is from RNAcentral.
CCUGCAUUCGAUACGGGCGAUCUAGAGUUUGGUAGGGGAGACUGGAAUUCCUGGUGUAGCGGUGGAAAUGCGCAGAUAUCAGGAGGGAACACCAUUGGCGAAGGCAGGUCUCUGGCCCAAUACUGACACUGAGGACCGAAAGCGUGGGGGAGCGAACAGGAUUAGAUACCUUGGUAGGUCCACGCGGUAACCGGUGGGCGCUAGUUGUGGGGACUUUCCACGGGUCUCUGCGACGCAGCUAACGCAUUAAGCGCCCCGCNUGGGGAGUACGAUCGCAAGAUUAAAACUCAAAGGGAAUGGACGGGGCCCCGCACAAGCAGCGGAGCAUGCGGCUUAAUUCGACGCAACGCGAAGAACCUUACCAAGGCUUGACAUAUAGGGAAAAGCGGCAGAGAUGUCGUGUCCGCAAGGGGCUCUAUACAGGUGGUGCAUGGUUGUCGUCAGCUCGUGUCGUGAGAUGUUGGGUUAAGUCCGGCAACGAGCGCAACCCUCGUUCUGUGUUGCCAGCAUUUAGUUGGGGACUCGCAGGAGACUGCCGGGGUUAACUCGGAGGAAGGUGGGGAUGACGUCAAAUCAUCAUGCCCCUUAUGUCUUGGGCUGCACGCAUGCUACAAUGGCCGAUACAAAGGGCUGCAAUACCGCAAGGUGGAGCGAAUCCCAAAAAGUCGGUCUCAGUUCGGAUUGAGGUCUGCAACUCGACCUCAUGAAGUCGGAGUUGCUAGUAAUCGUAGAUCAGCAACGCUACGGUGAAUACGUUCCCGGGGCUUGUACACACCGCCCGUCACGUCACGAAAGUCGGUAACACCCAAAGUCAGUGGCCCAACCGCAAGGAGGGAGCUGCCUAAGGUGGGAUCGGUGAUUGGGACGAAGUCGUAACAAGGUA